UGGCAAUAUAGUGUAUCUUUUAUAUGGCAACAUGAAUAUUGUGUACAUUUAAAUUGAUUUAAGGUACACCUCAGGAUGUACUUCAGAGUAGUAUGUUUAAGGUACACUUUAUGCAUAUAUCCAGGAGAAAGACACUCUAGAUACAAAAGAUGUGCCCUAUGAAUUGACAAGGACAGGUACUUUUGCUUCCAAGAGUGUAUAUCUAAUGUGAACUCUUGGCCUUAGUCGAAAGGAUCCUGUAUAAUUCUUUGGAUAGACAGAACUCUUAGCUUCCUACAAGUGUUUGUACUUGGAACAUUUUUUAGUUAGGGAAAUAGAGAAACCCACUGAUGUAGAUCUCUACAAAGGACCUUUAAGGGUUCAUCCAGAGGGACUAACCUUAGGGUUACAUAAUGCAUAGUGUUUAAUAAAGAGUAUUGUUGAAAACAAAACAAAAAACUCAUAAUACUAAAAAAUCUGCUAUGUCAAGAAUGCCAGAUUGUCAGCUAUCAGCAGUGGUAAGAAAUAUUUAUCCCAGGAGUUCACAGACCGUAAAAACAGAUGUGUUAACGUUGAACAUGGUGCAGAAACAUAGUGCCUUCUUAUACACAUUCAUACAUCCUGCUUUUCCAGGCAGCAUAAAAAUUACAAAGCAGGUCUGUUUUGGAUUUACAUCGCCUUACUCUGAGAUGGAUAUUUCUAGUGUAAAUUCAACACAAGCUGGGUUGUCCAUUUAAAAAAAAAAAUUUAAAUAAAACUUGCCUUCAAUAGAUUUGGAUAGGUAUACAUAGUGGAAAACAACGCACCAUUUAAAAGUCUCUCUCUCUCUCUCUCUCUCUCUCUCUCUCUCUCUCUCACUCUCUCUCUCUCUCACACACACACACCACUCCCUAAAAUCAAAUUGUGCAGAUGCACAUACUCUUUUGCCAGUGAACAUUCCACUGAGAAGGUGAAGUAUUAUACAAACAUAAAAAAAUAAAUAAAUAAAACUCUACAUUCACAUGUCACCACUGCUCUACAAAUUGCAGAUCAAAACCAGUCAUAUAAGUUUAACUAGCCAUCUGCCUCUGUGUGAAUGUUUUUAGCCUACAUUACGCUCGUUUGUUAUAACCUGUCUAUGACACUAUACUGAAACAUAUCCUUGAAAUGUAAAUGAAUCAGCUUGGCACGUUGAGAUGCCAUAUUUAUACUAAUUAUAAAUAAACAAACAAACAAAAAAGCACUAGGGACACGGUGCCUGAGCUCCAGCCGGGAUGGUGUCUUAAAUCUCCAAUGUACAAUGCAUCUAUGAUAAUUCUUAAUUACCAGUGCACAUGUCUGCCUGUCUCAUUUCAGAUUUUUUUUUUUAACCAGUGCAUUGGCAACUUUUCUUGUUACAAAUCUGCUUGGAGAUCUGGCUUUAAUCCAGUAUCACAUAUGCGUUCCACAUGGCUAUAUCUAAAUGACUUGAGCAGUCGGAAUGAUUACUAUUUUUAUUUUAUUUUUUUGUCUAAUGGGCAAAACUGUGUUGUUGUUAUGCCUGGUCUUACCUUGAUAUGUGGAAACGUGUCGAUUCUGCUUCGUUAAGCUUCAUUCGCACCGAUGCGCUUUAAAACUCUGUCUUUCUGCACCAUCAUCCAUUUCAUCCUCCUCAAACUGACAACGCGAAAACGGAAGAAAAAAAAACUACGUCCUUCUCUCUCUCUCUCUCUCUCUCUCUCUCUCUCUCUCUCUUAUACCGCACAAUGCACUUAGCUGCGUAGUCUCAGGACUGAAAAUCGACCUCACUGUCAGGAUUUAAACUGCAAAAUAUCCUGGUGCAUUCACGAGGUCGCCCAGAUAUUCCGCGUUUAAUUCCAAAUGCAUGGACGCAUGAGCCAUAGCUCUCAUAAGAAAUCCGCGUUGGGGAUGGAAGUCCUGCCUGAGAAGUACGGUUCAAGGCUGAGAGACGGGUUUGAUGCGCAUGGCGCGCGGCACGGAGAAGCGUGUCACGCGCACGGGAAGCAGAACUUAAAGCAAUCUCUAGAUGGCACAGGAGAGGUAGACCAGGCAUGUGAGGUGUGUGUGCAACUCUGGAUGUUCCAAAGAAUUGACCUUUCCCUUUGAGGAGAAAUGUACCCCUAGAGAAGACCCAUCUGGAAAAAA
Molecule: long non-coding RNA, 2103 nt
Organism: Ictalurus punctatus (channel catfish)
Lineage: Eukaryota; Metazoa; Chordata; Actinopteri; Siluriformes; Ictaluridae
Source: Ensembl